RNAcentral lists this ribosomal RNA (229 nucleotides) under uncultured bacterium. Its description in RNAcentral is "partial 16S ribosomal RNA". It matches the Rfam family "Bacterial small subunit ribosomal RNA", at positions 355 to 601 of the family's 1533-position model. The record is from RNAcentral.
UGGGGAAUAUUGGACAAUGGGGGCAACCCUGAUCCAGCAAUGCCGCGUGUGUGAAGAAGGUCUUCGGAUUGUAAAGCACUUUCGACGGGGACGAUGAUGACGGUACCCGUAGAAGAAGCCCCGGCUAACUUCGUGCCAGCAGCCGCGGUAAUACGAAGGGGGCUAGCGUUGCUCGGAAUGACUGGGCGUAAAGGGCGUGUAGGCGGUUUACACAGUCAGAUGUGAAAUC